Molecule: ribosomal RNA, 1529 nt
Filed under: metagenome
Description: bacterial SSU rRNA
Rfam family: Bacterial small subunit ribosomal RNA
Source: RNAcentral
AGAGUUUGAUCCUGGCUCAGGACGAACGCUGGCGGCGUGCCUAAUACAUGCAAGUCGAGCGGACAGAUGGGAGCUUGCUCCCUGAUGUUAGCGGCGGACGGGUGAGUAACACGUGGGUAACCUGCCUGUAAGACUGGGAUAACUCCGGGAAACCGGGGCUAAUACCGGAUGGUUGUUUGAACCGCAUGGUUCAAACAUAAAAGGUGGCUUCGGCUACCACUUGCAGAUGGACCCGCGGCGCAUUAGCUAGUUGGUGAGGUAAUGGCUCACCAAGGCAACGAUGCGUAGCCGACCUGAGAGGGUGAUCGGCCACACUGGACUGAGACACGGCCCAGACUCCUACGGGAGGCAGCAGUAGGGAAUCUUCCGCAAUGGACGAAAGUCUGACGGAGCAACGCCGCGUGAGUGAUGAAGGUUUUCGGAUCGUAAAGCUCUGUUGUUAGGGAAGAACAAGUGCCGUUCGAAUAGGGCGGUACCUUGACGGUACCUAACCAGAAAGCCACGGCUAACUACGUGCCAGCAGCCGCGGUAAUACGUAGGUGGCAAGCGUUGUCCGGAAUUAUUGGGCGUAAAGGGCUCGCAGGCGGUUUCUUAAGUCUGAUGUGAAAGCCCCCGGCUCAACCGGGGAGGGUCAUUGGAAACUGGGGAACUUGAGUGCAGAAGAGGAGAGUGCAAUUCCACGUGUAGCGGUGAAAUGCGUAGAGAUGUGGAGGAACACCAGUGGCGAAGGCGACUCUCUGGUCUGUAACUGACGCUGAGGAGCGAAAGCGUGGGGAGCGAACAGGAUUAGAUACCCUGGUAGUCCACGCCGCAAACGAUGAGUGCUAAGUGUUAGGGGGUUUCCGCCCCUUAGUGCUGCAGCUAACGCACUAAGCACUCCGCCUGGGGAGUACGGUCGCAAGACUGAAACUCAAAGGAAUUGACGGGGGCCCGCACAAGCGGUGGAGCAUGUGGUUUAAUUCGAAGCAACGCGAAGAACCUUACCAGGUCUUGACAUCCUCUGACAAUCCUAGAGAUAGGACGUCCCCUUCGGGGGCAGAGUGACAGGUGGUGCAUGGUUGUCGUCAGCUCGUGUCGUGAGAUGUUGGGUUAAGUCCCGCAACGAGCGCAACCCUUGAUCUUAGUUGCCAGCAUUCAGUUGGGCACUCUAAGGUGACUGCCGGUGACAAACCGGAGGAAGGUGGGGAUGACGUCAAAUCAUCAUGCCCCUUAUGACCUGGGCUACACACGUGCUACAAUGGACAGAACAAAGGGCAGCGAAACCGCGAGGUUAAGCCAAUCCCACAAAUCUGUUCUCAGUUCGGAUCGCAGUCUGCAACUCGACUGCGUGAAGCUGGAAUCGCUAGUAAUCGCGGAUCAGCAUGCCGCGGUGAAUACGUUCCCGGGCCUUGUACACACCGCCCGUCACACCACGAGAGUUUGUAACACCCGAAGUCGGUGAGGUAACCUUUUAGGAGCCAGCCGCCGAAGGUGGGACAGAUGAUUGGGGUGAAGUCGAAACAAGGUAGCCGUAUCGGUAGGUGCGGCUG